AAAAUAUCAGAGACUGAACUAGUUUGGGACAUUGAGACUAUCUAGAAAUAGAUGGCAUCUGGAUUUGGCUGGUGGGCUGUAGUUUGCUGACCCCUGCACUCAAGCCCUGGGGAGGUUCGUAUUUUUCUGAAUCUGUCAUGAGUUUUUAUAUUUCCAUACCUUUCCUUAAACAGUUCCCA
RNAcentral lists this long non-coding RNA (179 nucleotides) under Dasypus novemcinctus (nine-banded armadillo). RNAcentral's name for it is "lncRNA (ENSDNOG00000052561.1)". Lineage: Eukaryota; Metazoa; Chordata; Mammalia; Cingulata; Dasypodidae. The record is from RNAcentral.